AUACUUACCUGGCAGGGGAGAUACCAUGAUCACAAAGGUGGUUUUCCCAGGGCGAGGCUUAUCCAUUGCACUCCGGAUGUGCUGACCCCUGCGAUUUCCCCAAAUGUGGGGAACUCGAUUGCAUAAUUUGUGGUAGGGAACUGCAUUCGUGUUAUCCCGUU
Small nuclear RNA from Fukomys damarensis (Damara mole-rat), 161 nucleotides. Its record names the gene U1. It matches the Rfam family "U1 spliceosomal RNA". Rfam says of the family: U1 is a small nuclear RNA (snRNA) component of the spliceosome (involved in pre-mRNA splicing). Lineage: Eukaryota; Metazoa; Chordata; Mammalia; Rodentia; Bathyergidae. The record is from Ensembl.